This is a long non-coding RNA of Chiroxiphia lanceolata (lance-tailed manakin), 864 nucleotides long. RefSeq lists it as uncharacterized. The transcript has 4 exons. Lineage: Eukaryota; Metazoa; Chordata; Aves; Passeriformes; Pipridae. The record is from RefSeq and is a predicted model, not a curated record.
CACGGCUGUCCCCUGCCUUCUGCCAUCCCCGGCCAUCUGUGUCCCCUCCGCGGGGGCUGCUCUGCCACACAGCACCAUUGUCACUGCCUUGCCCACACUUGGCCCUGCACGGGGAGAGACAGCUGGGAGAGCACUGGGGCAGCCCUGCUCUUUGCAGUGGGUGAAAGCAAAUGGUCAUGUCGGGUCAGGGAGCUCCCCUGCAGCUGGCAAGGGUGACACGGCCCCGCAGGGCCAGCCCAGCACAGGAGGAGGAAACCCACGGCUGCUGCUUGCUGUGAAAGUGCCUGCAAAAAAAUCACCACGCCAGUCAGUGAGCUUUGUUUGUUUUAAAUAGGAGCACUUUGCUCCUUAAAUAAUACCUUACUUCAAGCAUCUCAAAGCGCAUCUCACUGGCUGAGCCUCAUCUUUCUGUGGAAAGGGUGUAGUCAGCCUGAAUUUGAAGAACUGGCAAGCUGAACCAUCAGUAUCAGAGUAAUGGGACUGAGAAAGCCGAGAAAGAAAGUGGAGGCCGGAAUGAUGCUGAUUACACUGGAAGGUGUGACAGUUGGUUUAACUAGUGGAGAACAGAAUUACAGGCAUCCACAGGAACUGAAGGAGCCUUACAAUAAAAAGGCAGGGCAGGAAGGGCAGUCUGCAAAAUGGAGAACACGAAGGUCUGCUGUGCCCUCUCUCUUGAAGCCUACAGCUUUGGGAAAAGCUGAAGAUACAGACUUAGGAAUCCUGAAUUUCUUUGGCAUCCCCAAAUACACUAAUUAAUAUUUGCAGGAGGUGAAAAGUGCUGUUUGUACUGUUAGGAGGUAUUAAUGAUCAAUUUUCAAACUGUUUGUAUCAUUUUCCUGUGGUGACAGCAGAGGACUAUGCCAU